Brassica napus (rape) is the source of this 2302-nucleotide long non-coding RNA. RefSeq lists it as uncharacterized. The record is from RefSeq and is a predicted model, not a curated record. Lineage: Eukaryota; Viridiplantae; Streptophyta; Magnoliopsida; Brassicales; Brassicaceae. The transcript has 9 exons.
UUUCCACCAUAAUAAGCUAUUUAGAGCACAAUUAGACAGGGUUUUUAGGAUAUUUGUGAUUUAAAGAAAAAGAAAAAUUGUAAUUAAAUCAAAAGGCGUCUCUUAAUUAAGGGAUGGAAGAGCCGUUCCUUAGAGUACACGUGUCGAGCACACGGCGUUGAAAAAAAAAACCGAAGUCUUCUGUUCUUCGUCUCUUCCUCUCUAUCGCUUGGCUUUCGAAAAUGCAGACCAAUUCGGAGAGAGAGCGACAUAGAUGAUUUUUUUUUGUUGUGGAUUCCCUCCGAUUGAGGAGAUAUGGCCGGAGCUAAUGCUGACGAUGAUCGUAACAACCGCCGGAUUGCUAGCCAAUCGACGGAUUCCGCCGCAGAUGUCCCUGGAAAACGCGGGAACGAGGAUGCUUCGUCUCUUGUUGAAAUCUCGUGCUCGAUUUGCCUCGAGUUGGUGGUCGACGACGGUUCCAGAUCCAGUGCUAAGCUCCAAUGUGGUCACCAAUUCCAUUUGGGGUCAGUGGUUGUUUGCAAAUGGCUCUACUCGGCUGUUUCCUGAGUUUGUCAUGGAAGAUUGGAUCCCCGAAGAAGAUUUGUAUGCUUUAAGCUAUCCAGAGAUGGGUUUUGUUUUGGUGUGUAGUGAGCUUCAAGUGCUCUCACUGCAAAUCCACCCUUCAAGUCAGUUUCUUUCUUCCCCCUUUCAUCACUCUCUGUAUAUGAAUAUGAAUGAAUGUUUGAUAAUAACUUGGAUUGUCUACGUUGAUGUUUUCAUAUGUCUGUUCUUCCUUCUUCUCUCAUGUUUUUCCUUCACAUGUGUUUUUGUUAAAAAAAAUUUUAAGAACCUUUAAAUAAGAGACUCCCAUUGGAGCACAAAAAUAUUGGUUUCUCUUAACUAGGUCUUUUAAGUAACUUUAAUAAUUAAAAAUAAUUAAGAGACCCAAAGUGGGUUUUUGGGUUAAUGAUACUCUUAGAGCAUCAGCAGUGGGUCUCACACAAUCUCUUGUCAAAUAAAUAGAAGAAAAAAAUAAGAAAAAGAUGAAAGAGAAAAAAAAAAAAAAGGUAAAAGGAGAGAGACAUAUACGUUCAUAAAGGUACUCUAACAAAAAUGAGAAGAUAUUUUCUCCACUUGUCAUCUAAUAAGUGAUUAUAAUUUAUUUUUACUUAAAAUUUAUUUAUUUAACUAAUUUAUAUUAUUAAAUAAUGAUGAAAGGUGAUGGGAAGAAACUUACCCAAUGUUGAUGCUCGCAGUAUGCAAUUCCUGUAUCUUAGCAUUAACUGAUUUAAAAAAAAAAAUUGGGUAAAUUAAGAGAAAACAUAUCUUAAUUAGGGGAAGGAAGAUACCGUGUCUUGAGACACAUGUUGUGUUAUGGGUGUUCAGAAGCAAACCCGUGUCUCUCUCCUUUCUUCGAUUUCGUUGAAAUCACAGCAACUCUCCGACGGCGAUUUCUUCAUCUCUCAACGAUCUGAUGAUGGAUUCAGCGUCUCUCUCGUCGGACUCGUCGUCUCUGUCGGACUCUCGUCUGUCUCGUCGGACUCGCGUCUGUACCGAUCAAGUGACAUGAAGCUCUUUCGAAGAAGAGAACUACGUCGGACUCGUCGUAUUGACUUGUUUCUUUGAUUUCGGAUGUCUUUUGUGGAAUAUAUCAUUCUUCUUGGUUAGCAUUAUUCACUUGUUAUUGACACGAGUCCUCAAUCUUGGUUGUUACUUGUUACUUGACUGUUUUGCUGUAGAACUACACUGGUGACAAGGCAAUUGGGAAAGUGUGAGAAGUACUUCCUAGAGCUAAUGAAGGUGCCACGAGUAGAAUCGAAGAUGAGAGUGUUUUCCUUCAAGAUUCAAUUCGGCACUCAGAUAAUAGAAUUCAAAAAAUGCCGUAAAUUCCGCGUGUGAUGAGGUUCGUACUUCACAAAAGCUAAAAGAAAUUAUGAAAAAAGAUUCUUUACCUGGGGAACACAUUGAACCAAGGAACUGCGAGGGGCGCUGCAGUGGGAUUCAAGUUGGACAGUUUAUUAAAACUAAGCGAUACACGUGCUGCUAACAGCAAGAUGACUCUCAUGCACUAUCUUUGCAAGGUCCUUGCUUCCAAGGGAUCAGAUCUACUGGACUUCCAUAAGGAUCUUGGAAGUCUUGAAUCAGCUUCAAAGAUACAAUUGAAGUCGCUGGCGGAGGAAAUGUAAGUUGUCAACCUUUACUAGACCCCAAUCUAUUACAUUUGAAAAUAUGUUUGAUCUUGAAAUGUAUGUUAAUGUCUUUCUAAUAAUCAAUAAAUUUGAAGUUUAAUAACAAAAUGUUUAAGAUUUUUUUUUAAGAACCA